Molecule: long non-coding RNA, 624 nt
Filed under: Zonotrichia albicollis (white-throated sparrow)
Lineage: Eukaryota; Metazoa; Chordata; Aves; Passeriformes; Passerellidae
Description: lncRNA (ENSZALG00000008804.1)
Source: RNAcentral
GAGGCAAUGGAUCAUGGAGGCAUGUGCACUUAAACCUUCCAGUGUUGGGAGAUUUGCUUGUAAAACAAACCUGGGCUGACCCAUUCACCAAAUGCUGCCUUUGUUCUGUGUGUAUGCCAGGAAGAAUUUUCUGAUGCAGCUGUUAACAAGUUUUCACAUUUCUAUAGUUUCCCUCCCGAACAAAUGUAUUCUUCUUCACUAUAAUCUUUCCCUGGCUUCACAUUUUGUAUUUUCAGGGACACAGAGGUGAGAAAGAAAAUAUCACCCUGUGUUUUUCUGGGGUCCACUGGUUCUCGUUCAGCAGCUUGGUCAUCUCCUGAAACCCUCCCCGGACAUCUGUCAGAUAUUUCCCCCCAGAAACUGAAACCUGCAGUGUCCACAGAGAAAAUGCAAGGCUUUGUAUGAAUUUUCAUGGAAGGAUCUGUACUUGUGUUUUAUAUUUUACUGCUUACCCUUGUGAGGAGAUGAUUGGUCUUUGGACAUCUUUUUGGAUGCUGAAGUUUUGUCCAUUGCAUAAUCUUUGAAUAUUAGCUGAUAGCUUUUGAGACUAUCACUAAAUCAUUUGCUGUGUUUUAUGUCUCAGUUAUAUGAAUAAAACCUGGUGAUUUUAGAGGGAAAAUUGCA